Molecule: ribosomal RNA, 377 nt
Filed under: uncultured bacterium
Lineage: Bacteria
Description: bacterial SSU rRNA
Rfam family: Bacterial small subunit ribosomal RNA
Source: RNAcentral
CAGGUCUUGACAUCCCGAUGCUAUUUCUAGAGAUAGAAAGUUACUUCGGUACAUCGGUGACAGGUGGUGCAUGGUUGUCGUCAGCUCGUGUCGUGAGAUGUUGGGUUAAGUCCCGCAACGAGCGCAACCCCUAUUGUUAGUUGCCAUCAUCCAGUUGGGCACUCUAGCGAGACUGCCGGUAAUAAACCGGAGGAAGGUGGGGAUGACGUCAAAUCAUCAUGCCCCUUAUGACCUGGGCUACACACGUGCUACAAUGGUUGGUACAACGAGUUGCGAGUCGGUGACGGCGAGCUAAUCUCUUAAAGCCAAUCUCAGUUCGGAUUGUAGGCUGCAACUCGCCUACAUGAAGUCGGAAUCGCUAGUAAUCGCGGAUCAGC